This 1677-nucleotide ribosomal RNA is filed under the name Triticum aestivum (bread wheat). RNAcentral describes it as "partial small subunit ribosomal RNA". The record is from RNAcentral. Lineage: Eukaryota; Viridiplantae; Streptophyta; Magnoliopsida; Poales; Poaceae.
AUGGAGGAGUUCAUCAGCCUCGGCGCAUCCGAGCCUGGCGCCUCGGAAGGCAUCAUAGAUCUCGACCAUGCCCUCCAAGUCGAUGCCGUCGAUUUGAAUCUGAAUCUCAAUGCACAACCACAAGGCAAGCCUAGUACUAGUACUAGUUCCCUCCUCGACAUCAUCGACCUCGAGGAAGGGCAGGUCGCCUCCCAAGAAGCCAGUGCCCAACAUGCGCAGGGGACAGCAGCAGACAACCCCCACCAGGCCAAGCCCCAACAAGAAGCCCUGGGUGCCAAUGGAGGAGUGGGGCCGCCUCCUUCUGAUGGGGUCAUCGAUCUCGAAGAAGGUCAGGUUGAGGACAUGGACCUCUCCGACGACAAUGCCCUAGUCGUUGUUACAAAGCAGCAUGGUCGUGUUUCAGCUGCUCAAACACCCAAGGCCAACAAUGAUGGGCCUCCCCUUUCGACACUUAUCGACCAAAGCCCCACAAGAGGAGUUAAAAGAGCCCGUGCUGAAUCAACAGAGCCUUCUGUCCGUGUAGUCUACAACAACUUGACAAGGGAAAGCAAAAAGAAGCUCAUGGAACUGAUGCAACAAUGGUCUGAGUGGCAAGCUAGAAAGCAGCACGCCUCGACGGAAACUGUAGAAGAAGUCUUGGACUGCGGUGAAGAGACUUAUUAUCCAGCAUUACAUGUUGGUUCAGAGCGAUCCUGUGCUGUGUCAUUCUGGGUGGAUAGCCAAGCACGAGGAAAUGCUGCUGUGGAUGAUGGUGCGGUGCCGCUGUAUGAUCGAGAAUUCACAUUGGGUUCAACUCCUAUGGGUGAUUCAUCAAAUGCUGAAGGCAAGAAAGAUAAGGAUGAUUCUCGCUGUUUCAACUGUGGUUCGUACAGUCAUGCUCUGAAGGAUUGCCCAAAGCCUCGUGACCAUGUUGCAAUUAGCAAUGCCCGCAAGCAGCACAACUUGAAAAGGAACCUAUCUAAUGUUGGUAAUCGUGGACAAAAUCGGUACUACCAGAAGACGCCAGGCAAAUUUGAUGAUCUGAAGGCAGGAGUCCUGGGAUCUGAGACUAGAGAAUGCUUGGGGCUCAGGGAAAAUGACCCGCCGCCGUGGCUGCACAGGAUGCGUGAAUUGGGCUAUCCUCCAGGUUACCUAGAUGAGGUGGAAGAUGAAGAUAAGCCAUCUGGCAUCACCAUAUUUGGGGACGGGGAGGUGAAGGAAGAGCAGCAGCAGCAGGAGGAGGGAGAGCUGCUGGAGAAGGGUGAAGCAUCCUCGCCUCGCAAGAGGAUGACGGUGGGGUUCCCUGGAAUAAACGCGCCCGUCCCAGAGAACGGCGACCCUUGGCUGUGGGGCAGCGCUCCUCCGCCCCCUCUUCAGUCCUCCUCGGGCCGUCACAACCAGCACUCGUCAUCAGAUUCGAGGGAUAGAGCUCCUCCUGCUCCUCCAGGCGUUGAGCAUUACUCGUCAUCGAGGUAUCACUCGUACGACUACGGACCGGCGAUCCCUGGUGCGGGAAGAAGAAGCUCAUCUGGCUAUGACGAUGGUGCCUGGACCCCGAGCCCUUCGUUUUCGAGCAGGCAGCACUCGGGCUCGGGUUCGGGCUCGAGGGAAAGGGAAAGGGACUGGGAGAGGGAGAGGGAGAGGGAGAGGGAAAGGGACAGAGAGAGGGACAGGCACUACUACAGCAGCAGGAGGUGA